Molecule: ribosomal RNA, 490 nt
Filed under: uncultured bacterium
Lineage: Bacteria
Description: bacterial SSU rRNA
Rfam family: Bacterial small subunit ribosomal RNA
Source: RNAcentral
AGUGAACGCUGGCGGCAGGCCUAAUACAUGCAAGUCGAACGGCAGCACAGCAGAGCUUGCUCUGUGGGUGGUGAGUGGCGGACGGGUGAGGAAUACAUGGGAAUCUGCCCAGUCGUGGGGGAUAACGUAGGGAAACUUACGCUAAUACCGCAUGCGCCCUUCGGGGGAAAGCCGGGGACCUUCGGGCCUGGCGCGAUUGGAUGAGCCCAUGUCGGAUUAGCUAGUUGGCGGGGUAAUGGCCCACCAAGGCGACGAUCCGUAGCUGGUCUGAGAGGAUGAUCAGCCACACUGGAACUGAGACACGGUCCAGACUCCUACGGGAGGCAGCAGUAGGGAAUAUUGGACAAUGGGCGCAAGCCUGAUCCAGCCAUGCCGCGUGAGUGAAGAAGGCCCUCGGGUUGUAAAGCUCUUUUGUCCGGAAAGAAAAGCGCCGGGUUAAUACCCUAGUGUCCUGACGGUACCGGAAGAAUAAGCACCGGCUAACUUCGUG